This 293-nucleotide ribosomal RNA is filed under the name uncultured bacterium. RNAcentral describes it as "partial 16S ribosomal RNA". It matches the Rfam family "Archaeal small subunit ribosomal RNA", at positions 455 to 747 of the family's 1478-position model. The record is from RNAcentral.
GUGCCAGCCGCCGCGGUAAUACCGGCAGCCCGAGUGAUGGCCGAUCUUAUUGGGCCUAAAGCGUCCGUAGCUGGCUGCGCAAGUCCGUCGGGAAAUCCACUCGCCCAACGAGUGGGCGUCCGACGGAAACUGCACAGCUUGGGACCGGAAGGCUCGAAGGGUACGUUCGGGGUAGGAGUGAAAUCCUAUAAUCCUGGACGGACCACCAAUGGGGAAACCACCUCAGGAGGAUGGACCCGACAGUGAGGGACGAAAGCUAGGGUCUCGAACCGGAUUAGAUACCCUUGUAGUCC